AUACGGAGGACGCGAGCGUUAUCCGGAUUCAUUGGGUUUAAAGGGUGCGCAGGCGGCCGUGCAAGUCAGCGGUGAAAGCCCGGGGCCCAACCCCGGAAGUGCCGUUGAUACUGCAUGGCUUGAAUGCGGUCGAGGCGGGCGGGACGGGGCGGGUAGCGGUGGAAUGCGUAGAUAUGCCACAGAACGCCGAUAGCGGAGGCAGCUCGCCAGGCCUGCAUUGACGCUCGGGCACGAAAGCGUGGGGAUCGAACAGGAUUAGAUACCCUGGUAGUCCACGCCGUAAACGAUGGGCGCUCGUCGUCGGCGGCAGACAGUCGGCGGCCAAGCGAAAGCGAUAAGCGCCCCACCUGGGGAGUACGGUCGCAAGGCUGAAACUCAAAUGAAUUGACGGGG
This 393-nucleotide ribosomal RNA is filed under the name uncultured bacterium. RNAcentral describes it as "partial 16S ribosomal RNA". It matches the Rfam family "Bacterial small subunit ribosomal RNA", at positions 523 to 918 of the family's 1533-position model. The record is from RNAcentral.